RNAcentral lists this ribosomal RNA (500 nucleotides) under uncultured bacterium. RNAcentral's name for it is "partial 16S ribosomal RNA". It matches the Rfam family "Bacterial small subunit ribosomal RNA", at positions 30 to 523 of the family's 1533-position model. The record is from RNAcentral.
AUUGAACGCUGGCGGAAUGCUUUACACAUGCAAGUCGAACGGCAGCACGGACUUCGGUCUGGUGGCGAGUGGCGAACGGGUGAGUAAUGUAUCGGAACGUGCCCAGUCGUGGGGGAUAACGUAGUGAAAAUUACGCUAAUACCGCAUACGAUCUAUGGAUGAAAGCGGGGGAUCGCAAGACCUCGCGCGAUUGGAGCGGCCGAUAUCAGAUUAGGUAGUUGGUGGGGUAAAGGCUCACCAAGCCAACGAUCUGUAGCUGGUCUGAGAGGACGGCCAGACACGUGGGACCGGAGACACGGCCAAGACUCAUACGGGAGGAAGCAUUGGUGAAUUUUGGACAAUGGACGCAGGUCUGAUCCAGCAUUCCCGGGGGCAGGAGGAGGGCCCUCGGGUUGAAAACUGCUUUUGUACGAAACGAAAAGUUUCCCAUUAAUACUGGGAGCUAAUGAGGGUACCGUAAAAAAAACCACCGGCUAACUACGAGCAAGCAGCCGCGGUAA